GCUACUUAAAACCAUCGCGAACUUAUCCAAGUUGCUUCGGCGGCGCGGCUCCCCUCACGGGGGACCGCAGCCCCCGCCUCUCAGGAGGUAAGGGGCAGCCGCCGGAGGUACGAAACUCUGUAUUAUAGUGGUAUCUCUGAGUAUAAAACAAAUAAGUUAAAACUUUCAACAACGGAUCUCUUGGUUCUGGCAUCGAUGAAGAACGCAGCGAAAUGCGAUAAGUAAUGUGAAUUGCAGAAUUCAGUGAAUCAUCGAAUCUUUGAACGCACAUUGCGCCCGCUAGUACUCUAGCGGGCAUGCCUGUUCGAGCGUCAUUUCAACCCUCAAGCUCUGCUUGGUGUUGGGGCUCUACGUCUGACGUAGGCCCUGAAAGGAAGUGGCGGGCUCGCUACAACUCCGAGCGUAGUAAUUCAUUAUCUCGCUAGGGAAGUGUGGCGUUCUCCAGCCGUUAAAGACCCCAUCUUUAACCAAGGUUGACCUCGGAUCAGGUAGGAAUACCCGCUGAACUUAAGCAUAUCAAUAAGCGGAGGAGGG
Molecule: ribosomal RNA, 534 nt
Filed under: Coniochaeta sp. 6-13p
Lineage: Eukaryota; Fungi; Ascomycota; Sordariomycetes; Coniochaetales; Coniochaetaceae
Description: eukaryotic LSU rRNA
Rfam family: 5.8S ribosomal RNA (bases 161-314)
Source: RNAcentral